This 3088-nucleotide long non-coding RNA is filed under the name Homo sapiens (human). Its description in RNAcentral is "non-protein coding lnc-IFT20-4:1". Lineage: Eukaryota; Metazoa; Chordata; Mammalia; Primates; Hominidae. The record is from RNAcentral.
AGGGAGGACAAGUGAUGGAGGAAGGAUGGAUUCGGUUACCAGAUGGGAGAGAAGCUGUGCCACAGCUGCUAGGAGCCGCAGUUGUGCUGGCUGUGCAUAAAACCACCCAUCUAGGCCAGGAGUCACUUGAAAAGUUGUUAGUCCGGUAUUUCUACAUCUUGCAUUUGUCAGCCCUUGCCAAAACGGUGACGCAGCGGUGUGUUACCUGCCCAAAGCAUAAUGCGAAGCAAGGUCCAGCUGUUCCGCCCGUCAUACAAGCUUAUGGAGCAGCCCCCUUUGAAGAUGUCCAGGUGGACUUCACAGAGAUGCCAAAGUGUGGAGGUAAUCGAGUGUGGAUCAAGGACUGGAACGUAACUUCUUUGUGCCCACGGUGGAAAGACCGUAGUCUGUCGUCCUGACCACUCCCACCGCUGUGAAGGUAGAGGGAAUCCCAGCCUGGAUCCACCACAGCCGUGUAAAACCUGCAGCACCUGAAACCUGGGAGGCAAGACCAAGCCCAGACGACCCUUGCAGAGUGACCCUGAGGAAGACGACAAGCCCUGCUCCAGUCACACCCAGAAGCUGACUGGUCCACGCACGGCCGAAGCAUGAGGAAGCUCAUCGUGGGAUUCAUUUUUCUUAAAUUCUGGACUUACACAGUAAGGGCUUCAACUGACCUUACUCAAACUGGGGACUGUUCCCAGUGUAUUCAUCAGGUCACUGAGGUAGGACAGCAAAUUAAAACAAUCUUUCUGUUCUAUAGUUAUUAUGAAUAUAUGGGAAUGUUAAAAGAAACUUGUUUGUAUAAUGCCACUCAGUACAAGGUAUGUAGCCUGGGAAAUGACCCACCUGAUGUGUGUUAUAACCCAUCUGAGCCCCCUGCAACCACCAUUUUUGAAACAAGAUUAAGAACUAGCCUUUUCCUAGGUGACACAAGUAAAAUAAUAACUAGAACAGAAGAAAAAGGAAUCCCCAAACAAAUAAUUUUAAGAUUUGAUGCUUGUGCAGCCAUUAAUAGUAACAAACUAGGAACAGAAUGUGGUUCUCUUAACUGGGAAAGGAGCUACAGAGUAGAAAAUAAAUAUGUUUGUCAUGAGUCAGGGGAUUGUGAAAAUUGUGCCUUUUGGCCAUGUGUUAUUUGGGCUACUUGGAAAAAGAACAAAAAAGACCCGGUUCAUCUUCAGAAGGGGGAAGCCAACCCUUCCUGUGCUGCCGGUCACUGUAACCCACUAGAACUAAUAAUUACCAAUCCCCUAGAUCCCCAUUAGAAAAAGGGAGAACGUGUAACCCUGGGGAUCGAUGGGACGGGGUUAAACCCCCAAGUUGCCAUUUUAAUUAGAGGGGAGGUCCACAAGCGCUCUCCCAAGCCAGUAUUUCAAACCUUUUAUGAGGAGCUGAAUCUGCCAGCACCAGAACUUCCGAAAAAGACAAAAAAUUUGUUUAUCCAAUCAGCAGAAAAUGUAGCUCAUUCCCUUAAUGUUACUUCUUGUUAUGUAUGCGGGGGAACCACUAUCGGAGACCGAUGGCCUUGGGAAGCCCGAGAGUUGGUGCCUACUGAUCCAGCUCCUGAUGUAAUUCCAGUUCAGAAGGCCCAAGCUAGCAACUUCUGGGUCCUAAAAACCUCAAUUAUUGGACAAUACUGUAUAGCUAGAGAAGGGAAAGUCUUUAUCAUCCCUGUAAGAAAGCUUAAUUGUAUAGGACAGAAGUUGUACAACAGCACAACAAAGACAAUUACUUGGUGGGGCCUAAACCACACUGAAAAGAACCCAUUUAGUAAAUUUUCUAAAUUAAAAACUGCCUGGGCUCAUCCAGAAUCUCAUCAGGACUGGGCAGCUCCCGCUGGACUAUACUGGAUAUGUGGGCACGGAGCCUACAUUCGGUUACCUAAUAAAUGGGCAGGCAGUUGUGUUAUUGGCACUAUUAAGCCGUCCUUUUUCUUAUUACCCAUAAAAACGGGUGAGCUCCUAGGUUUCCCUGUCUAUGCCUCCCAAGAGAGGCAUAGUUAUAGGAAACUGGAAAGAUAAUGAGUGGCCCCCUGAAAGGAUCAUACAGUAUUAUGGGCCUGCCGCAUGGGCACAAGACAGCUCAUGGGGAUACUGAAUCCCCAUCUACAUGCUCAAUCAGAUCAUAUGGUUGCAGGCCAUCUUAGAAAUAAUUACUAAUGAAACUUUGACUGUUUUAGCUUGGCAGGAAACCCAAAUGAGGAAUGCUAUCUCUCAGAAUAGGCUGGCCUUGGACUACUUGCUAGCAGCUGAAGGAGGAGUUUGUGAAAAAUUUAACUUAACCAGUUGCUGCCUACAAAUAGAUGAUCAAGGACAGGUGGUUGAAAACAUAGUCAGGGACAUGACAAAGGUGGCACAUGUGUCUGUACAGGUUUGGCACGAGUUUGAUCCUGAGUCUUUCUUUGGAAAAUGGUUUCCAGCUACAGGAGGAUUAAAAACCCUCAUUGUAGGUGUAGUGCUAGUAAUAGGAACUUGCUUGCUGCUCCCCUGUGUAUUACCCUUGCUUUUUCAAAUGAUAAAAUGUUUUGUUGCUACUUUGGUUCAUCAAAAAACUUCAGCACACGUGUAUUAUAUGAAUCACUAUCGCUCUAUCUCGCAAAGAGACUCAGAAAGUGAGGAUGAGAGUGAGAACUCCCACUAAAAAGUGAAAAUUCUCAAAGGGGGGGAAUAUGGUACGAGACCACCACUUCUCCUGUUGUCCUUCCCAGUUUCUCCCCAACCUCCCCUUUUCCCUAGUUUAUAAGACAGGAGAAAAGGGAGAAAGCAAAAAGUUGGAAAGAAACAGAAGAAAGAUAAAUAGCUAGACGACCUUGGCGCCACCACCUGGCCCUGGUGGUUAAAAUGAUAAUAAUAUUAACCCCUGACCAAAACUACUGGUGUUAUCUGUAAAUUCCAGACAUUGUGUGAGAAAGCACUGUAAAACUUUUUGUAGUGUUAGCUGAUGUAGGUAGCCCACAGUCACAUUCCUCACACUUACUUGAUCUAUUAUGACUCUUUCACGUAGACCCCUUAGAGUUGUAAGCCCUUCAAAGGGCUAGGAAUUUCUUUUUCGGGGAGCUCGGCUCUUAAGAUGCGAGUCUGCUGAUGCUCCCGGCCGAAUAAAAAAC